RNAcentral lists this long non-coding RNA (19931 nucleotides) under Medicago truncatula (barrel medic). Its description in RNAcentral is "long non-coding RNA (MTRU_LNC000957)". The record is from RNAcentral. Lineage: Eukaryota; Viridiplantae; Streptophyta; Magnoliopsida; Fabales; Fabaceae.
CACCACCAAGUCCUAAAACCAUUGUUACAAUGUCGCCGCCGCCACCUCCAAGCCCAUCAAAACAUGUUCCAAGCCCACCUAAAAGUGUUAUAGGCCCACCUCAAGUAUACUUGCCACCUAUUGUUUAUCCACCACCACCUUCAACUCAUAAGAAGCCACCACAAUAUGCUAUUUGGUGUGUGGCAAAGCCUACAGUUCCUGAUCCUAUAAUUCAAGUGGCUAUGGAUUAUGCCUGUGGGUCUGGGGCUGACUGUAAAUCAGUUCAGCCUAAUGGGAUAUGCUUUCAGCCCAACACAGUGUUGGCACAUGCUUCUUAUGCAUUUAAUAGCUAUUGGCAGAACACUAAGAUUGGUGGGGGGACUUGUGAUUUUGGUGGUACUGCUAUGCUUGUCACUGUUGAUCCAAGUAAGUUUGCACUACGUACCAUAUUUGAUUACCUUUGUUAAAGAGAUUAAUUUUCAUAUAUUUCAUUUUUUUUUGUAAGUAAUUUUUCCAUGUAUUUCAUGUUCUACACUGUUAGCACAUUUACAUGUUGAUCUAAUGAUAAAAAAAAAAAAAAAAUUUUGAAUCGGCAAAAUAUUAUAUGUAUGGACCGUAAAAGUUGAUUAUGAUAAAAUUUAAACAGUUGAUUAGGAUAAAUAAUUUAAUUUUUUGGUACAAAUAAUAAAAUAAAUUUUAAUGAAAUUAUAUGACAAAAUUAACACUUCACAUGUUUCAUAUAUAUCGAGAUUCUUUUUUUGUUACAAUGAGAUCCUUUUAUUUAGCUGUUAGUUAAGUCAUUUCACAUCACAUCACAUACUAUAUAUAUCCACACAACAGGCAUAUGCCACUUGAUUUCUUUUAAAUUGGAAUCUAUCCGGGUAGAGAAAACAUGAAUUCAUGACAUCGGUAGCCGGCGUCUGAUUAAAAAUAAAGGUUUUUUUUAAAUUACCUUUAAAGAAUGGUGGGUAAUUUAUCCACCAACCAAUGAAAAUGAGCAAUUUAUUUGUGGAGUCAAGAUAGUUCAUGAAUAUGUGUUUAUGUGGCUAAUGUGUAUUGGUUGGGGUAAAUUACCCAUCAUUCUUUCAUGGGUAGCCUAGUUGCCACCAAAAAUAAAUGGUUCAAAUAAAUAUAUAUUUUAAUUUAUAAUUUAAAAAAAUAUCAAAUUUAAAUAUGAAUGGUUUAAUCUUGAUCAAACAACUAUUGAUGUGCUAUUGUGUGAUGUGUGCUUGAUCCCCUUUCUUCUUUUGAGGUGCAUUCUUCAUUGUCACACUCGGUGGUAUUAGAUUCGCGCACAGUCACUUAAAGCCCACAUUCACCUAUUCAAAACGUUGUUGACUUAUAUGGAUCAAGAUCUAAAGGAAUUUUAAGCUGGUUUUUAAGAUAAAAAACAAAAAUCAAACCUUAAAACCUGCAUUGUUCGAUCUAGAGUCAACGAUCACCGACAUGGUGAAAGUGAAUUUUUGUAACUACAUGGAAUGCAUAUUUCGUAGUCUUUUCAAUUUAGAACUAUGGAUUAUUGCUUCAGACUAACAUUUCCCUCAAAUCCUCGAUUUAUUUGGCAGGUUAUGACAAGUGCAGCUUCAAGUCGACUUAGCUCAUUGCUUGCUAUAAUACAUAGCAUUUGGAGACUUACCAAAUAUUGAAAACUUCUUGUUCCAAUGUAAUUUUUUAUGCAACGAUAAAUUCCCUUACUUAAUUAGAUACAUUAUUUGGAGUUACCUUGAUCAUAGUAUAUUCCGCCCUUGCUUAAUUUUGUGUAGUUCUAUAUAUUUCUAAAAUGGUAGGUUUAAUAUAUAUAUUCAUGACCAUAAUUUGAUAUUUAGAGAUGUAUGUAGCUCUAUUACGUUUCUGGUUCUUUAGUUUAAAACUUAGAUAAGCACCCAUCUUUUGUGUAUUACUAUCAGCGUUAUAAUCCUUGAAAACUUAGAUAAGCACCCAUCUAAAUGCAUAUAAGGUUAAGACAAUACCGACAUCAAAAUGCAGGUUGAAUACAUUAUCCGACUAAAAUCCAUUUCGCUUUCUUCAUGCAUGUGCUCUACAGUUAUCUUCAAUGAAUAAAACAGUAGUUACCUUCAGCCAGCUUGUAAUAUGUUGUCGCACCUGCGAAGCUAAUUUGCAUUCAAAAAAUAAGUGAGAAACAUUUUCCUGCGAAGCUAAUGAAGUGUACGGAAAAAUAAAUAAAAAAUUUACAUUUUAUUAUAACAAAGCAAACAAUUUACUCUAUUGCUUUUUUCUUUAAAAAAAAAUAAAAAAUUUACUUUAUUGUUUCGUGGUGUUUUUUUUAUUCAUUUACUUACUGAUAAAAAACUCAUAUAGACAAAAGAACUGAGUUAAGUGAGAAAAAAAAUGAGAUUAUAGCUAGUAUUGAUAUUUUUACUAAUGUAUUUCGAAAAAUAUUUCAUUCUGUUGGUGUAUAAAAAUUUACAUUAGAAGCAGGGAGGGAACCAUAUUUAACGGUAUAAGAUAGGAAAGAAAAAACAAAUUACUUUACCCAAAAAAAAAAAAAAACAAAUUUUUAUUUGCAAAUAUAAUGCACACAUGAAAUUUAAGAAAUUAUAUGUUACUUCCCUCAUUUCCUUUUUUUAAGUGUUUUUUUAGAAAAUUAACACAAAAAUCACGAAGUGUAUUUUUUGCACAUUUUCUUCCUAGUAUACCCUCAUUUUAAUCCACUAAUAAAUUUCAAUUGUUUUGCAAACACUUUAUCUUUCCAAUAAAUUUAAUAUGUUAUAUUUCUCUCAUUGUGAGUUACUAUUAUCUUUUUCUCCAACAAAUUCCUAUUUUUUUACAUGCACUCUCUCAUAACAAACAAUUGUCAAUUUUCUAAAUAUUGUGUACAUCUUUUCAAUUAUUUUAAGUCAAUAUAAAAAUUAAAUUGAUGAAACUUCUUCUUCUUCAUUGUCAUCUUGUUCUUGUUCUUGUAUCUUGUCGAAUGAGUUUUCAACUAUUGCUCCCUCUUCACAUCUCAUCAUCAAUUUCAACGAGUCUUCCACUUUUUCAUCCUUUUGAGCAUACUACAUGGAGUCUUUUAUUUUUCUUCUCUCAAAUCUUUUAUUUUACUUUGCCCUUGAAAUUUUUAACAAUUGAUACUCAUCUUAGUUAUCGAAUUUUAACUCUUCUUGGAACCAUUGUUUGUAACAAAAUUUUGUUUAAAUUUGAAGAUAACAAGAAACAAACUUUGUUUAAAAAAAAACUGUGUUCCAAAUAGAUAGCAUUAAUUAGUUUUAUUGAAAAAGCUAAAAGUAAUUGGCAAAGGGUAUAAUUGACAAAUCGUAAUUUAAAAUACCAAAAAGACAGUAAAAUAGGAACGGAAAAUUCACCAUAAAAAGACACUUAAAAAUGAACGGAGGAAGUAUAUCCAAAGUUAAUAUGUAUCGAAAAUUGUGUUCAUGUGUAAUUUAUUUGUUGUUUUUUGUUGCCGUUGUUUCUUUAGUGGCACUUUGACUCUGUAAAUACUUGUCGGUGGUUCUCCUUUUGCAUACCUUAUACAGGUUGAACCACUCUGAUUUUAUUAAUAUCUCAUUUUGAUUUGUUAAAAAAAAAUGUAUCUAAAAUUAUAAGAAAUUUCAAAGAUGUUAGAAAAAUGAGUUCCUUGAGGCUUCUUUGAGUGUGACCAAAGAAGAUUUUUUUAAUAGUAGAGAUAGGAAAUAAGAAACAACAAGAAUGUAAAUGUAGGAGAAGAAAUUCAAGAUAAUAUCACAAACAUUAGUAGUGACUGAAAGGGCGCAAACAACACCGCGUGCAAUAUUUCUUACAGUUUGAGUGAAAUUGCAACAAAUAAUCACAAAUUAAUAUUCUAGUUAAGGUUCUUCUAAUUGCAUAAAAAAAAACUCACUUUAUUUCUCAAUUUCUCAAUGUUAUGCAUUCUAGUUAAGGAUUUGUGUUAUUAAAAUUUGAAAGUUAUACAAUGCUAAAUAUACUGAGUAAAAAAAAGUUCAUUAUACAAAAUCAUAUUAAGUUCACAGAAAAUAGUAUAGUGACAAAAAAAUAAAAAUAAUAAUAACAUACUAAUAUGAAGGGAACCAUGGCCUAUGUUAGUCUCCGUUCUAGUUUCAUCCCUGAUUGCAAAGUAUAUCAUAAUGCAAUCUUGUGUAGCUACGAUAAGAAUUAAAUAUUUUCAAUUAUCUACUAAUAGUAAUGAUUAAUUGACAAUGCAAGUACUCUUUACACCUGCAUUGCAUAUGAAUUAGAAGUCACUUUGUUGGCAUAUCACUCCUCAAUCUUGUGAUCCUCCGUUCAAAACUAGCGGUAUGGUAACAAAACCCAUAUAUGUGGGUAUCCGUUUGAACCAAACUUAAAUUGACGGGUUUUUUUUAUUUUAAUUGGGUUUGGGUUUGUCUCGAUUUCAAAAGAUAGAUACGGGACGGGUAACAGGAAUAUAGGUACUCAUCUCAAACCCAUCCUGAAUGUAGAAAAUUAAUUUAUUACCCAUUUUAUAUAAAUAAAAACUCAAACCCUAAAUCAUUUCACUCAUACAAUCAGAGUCUCGGUCUUUCAGAUGACACAAUUAUCAUAGUUCUUUCUUUUCUCCUUCAAUAUUCCACACUCUCAGCCUCUCUCUUCUUCAUCACCAUAGUCAUCGAUCGUCGUCAUCUUUUUACUGAAUAAUGCAUUAGUCAUUACAACUUUGCGCUCGGGGAUAAAAAAUACUUUUAUUUUUAAUAAAAAAAAAUUAUCCACUUCGGGGAUGGGAAUGAGGCGGGGAUGCCCAAACCCGUCGGGGACAUGGAUGAGAUUCGAUUUCUCAUCUCCGCUGAAUAUGGGUAUGGUAACGGGUAAGUAUUUGAAAAUAUGGUAUGAGGACGGGGAAGGUAAAACUCAUCCUCACCCUACCCCAUUGUGAUGCCUAUUCAUGAAGCACAUAUAUUUAGGUAAAUAUUAGAAUAGAAUAACAUUGGAAUGAAAUAAUGACAAAAUUAUCUCUUCACAUGUUUCAUAUUGAGACUCUUUUAUUUACAAUGAGUUCCUUAUUUCGUCGUUAUAGUUUAAGUGAUUUCACAUCACAUACUAUACCCUAACAACAAAGACAUAUUAUGCCACUUGGUUUCGGUACACAUUUCAUUGUCACGCAUCGUCGUCUUAUGGUUGUUGUGCCUUCAAUUUAGUUAAAACUAUGGGCUAUUGCUACAGACUGACAUUUUCCUCAAAAUCAAAACCACCGUUUAUUUGGCAGGUUAUGCAACUUCAUGUUGACUUCCUUCUAUUGAAAACCUCUCUUUCCAACGUAAUUUUUACGUAGCAAUACAUCCCCUUUGCUUAAUUAGUGACAAUAUUUGAAGUUACCCUACCUUGAUCAUCAUCAUCCCUUGCUUAAUUGGUGACGAUAUUGGAAGUAACCUUCAUCAUCUUCUUUGUGGUUUUUCUAGGAAUUCUUUAGGUGUCUUCGAGUUUGGAAGCAUACAAUCAUUUUUGUAAUAAUUAAAAAUUAAAAUUGUUACAAACUUCUAAAACACGGAAGGGUGAUUGAGUUGUCCUCGUGGAGUCAUGUGUCCAAUUGGUUAUAUAUACAAUCAUAUUAUAAUAGUCGUAUAUACGUAAACAUUUUUUAAAAAAAUAUGUACCACACUUUAAAAAUUCACAUAUGCAUUAAUUAAUUUACUUUUAACCUUAUCUUCUAAUAUAUUAUUAUAAAUUAAUUAAUAGUUAUUUUAAGAAAAACCAAUAAACAAUAUAACGCAAACUUGAAACAAAGAGUGAAUCAAGGAGAAUCUACAAAAUAAGUAGAGUAAUGUAUAAUUAAUACAGAAAAAAAAUUAACAAAUAAAAUUUAUCUCACCUUACCAAUGGAGAUUUUAUCUAUUGGAAAUGGUUGAUAUACUUACAAUUAGUUUUCGACACACAUCGAAUAUGAUUAUCUCCAAUUUAUGUGGCGGAAAAACUUAUCACACACGUUAGAAAAAGAAAAAAGUGUUUAUUUUUCUAGUUCCAUGAGUUUCUACAAGGUUUUUUUUACUUCACUAGCUAGUGAUGACUCGCAUGUGAGAUUUGCGAGUGCAACUUAACAUAUGUGAUUUUGAGACCACGAGAGAAGCAUAUAAUUUUUUUUUUUAAAGUACUAUAAAAUAAUAAUAAAAUUUGAACAUAUAUAUGAAAUGUGGUUGUAUCUUUCAGCAUGGAUUAGAACUUUGUUUGUCAUGUUUAUGAGAGUUUAAUCUCUUGCGCUAAAUUCAACCUUAUUGGUGAAUCUAGAUUUUUUUUUUUAUGUAUAUAUGUAUAUAUAUAUAUAUAUGAUGUUUCUAACCUAAUUAAGAGUUAUAUGUUGUAAUAAUAUUAUAUAAUUGUCUUUUUACUCCUUUUCGAUCUUGAGUUAUUUUGGGACGGGAAAAUAUCUUUAUUUUGGUUUUCAUAUAACUAUUCCCCCUUUUUUGUGAAUCCAAAGCAUUGCUUGAAAACUUUUAUUAUCAGCAUUGCUCGAAAGUUGAAACUAUUCCCGCUGGAUUCAAAGUUUUCAACUUCACUAAUUUCUUUGAAAAGAAAAUACUAUAAAACUUCACUGACAUGUUACGUUACAUUUGGAAGCCAGUCAUGUACCGUAAUAAUUGAAGAAAAAAUAUUAUCAGCCGACACUAAAUGCAUAAAAGGUUAAGACAUUACCGAUCCAUGUUUUGUCGUUGAACAAUUAGUCAAAUGUUAAUUGGUUUCAUUCAGAAUUAAGUGUAAAAAAUUUGAUGAUGAUAAUGAAAGAGACUUGAGUGUAUUACCCGACUAAAAUCCAUUUCGCUUUCUUCAUGUGCUCUAGAUCUACAAUUACCUGCUACACAUUCCAAUGGAUAAAUUCUGGUAAUUAUAAAUGUGAUUACUUAAAAUAUAUAUGGUGGCUUCUUAAACUAAAUUAUAUAAAUUGUUAUCGUUAAAAAGCGACUUUUAGAGUUUAUAGCAACAAUCGUAUCUAUUUGUUCACGGGUUUUUGGAUUAAGUUAGAUUUAGGCUAUUGGUCAUUUCAGUCCACUUAUAAAAAUGGAAGGAUGGAUAUUAUUUUAUUAAUUUACACCAUUCGGAGAAUUUCCUUAUUUUGUAUCAAGUCAAAUAAAAAUUAUAGCCUCAACUCUGGCAAAUUAUUUGCAACAUGUUACCCAAUAGUCUACAUUAUAUAUCUAUUAAAAAUCUUAAUAUCUUGUACAAACAUUGUGUAUAAAUCUUUAUUCGAUCAGUUAUAACAAAUUACAUAGACAUAUAGUGUGUUCGAUCGAGAAAAAUAAAUAAAAGAUUGGACAUGAUAACUACAUUUAUACUAUGUGAUUGUAAAACUACAUCAGGAACUAGAUAAACUUAGAGGGUAAAGGACACGAUAAAAAUUGAAAUUAUUAUCAUUUACUAAAUCAGAAUACAACUUUUUGCCUCAAAUACAAGUGAAUAAAAUACCCAAAUAGACUUUUAUCCACCAAGGAUCGUCGUCUAAGAUAAAAAAAAUUGUUCAAUAUAAUUAAAGUUAGUAAUGUGUCUUAUGUCUUAUUCCGUGUUCUUAUGUCCAAUACUUACAUUUUUAGAUAAUCAAACGUAUUCAUCCUGUUGAAGUACAUGGAGUCGAUACAAGUUAAGAACACAGUGGCUUGGGUUAGGUGAUAGAUGUACAAUCGUAUAGCUUAUAGGUCAAUUCUAACAUGUUUCUGAAAGUCAUUUUGUAUGGAGGUGUGUUAUUUGAACAAUCAUUUGAAUGAUAACUUUUGUGACAACCACUAAUUUACAAAGGAAAGUAGAUAGUGACACGGAAACCAAAGUAAUAGAGAGAUAAAGUAAAAAAAUAAUGUGAGUAUGAAAAAUAAAAUUGUCACAAAAUGGUUGUCAAAAUAUCAUUUCUCUUUUGUAUAACAUGCACAAAUAUUUAAAAGAUAAAUGAUAUUUGUAUAACCAUUUUUUUGACAACUUUUAGACAAUUUUCUCUCUCAUAUUCACGUUAUAUUCUUAACCUUUCUUUUCCUUUUUCUCUCUCCUUUGUUUUUAACCAAUAAAAAGAGAGGAAAAAAAAGUUGUCAAGAAAGUUGUUAGCAAAUAGUUGUUCAAAUAUCAUUGCUCGAGUUAAAAUCGUGCUCACUAAACACAAAUGAUUUUUGACGAAGUUUUGUGUAGGCACAAGCAUUUCGGCGCACAUACAUAAAUCAAAAAAAUUAAAAGAUAAAUAAAACAGUCACAUCAAUCAAUAUCAUUUUAAUCAUUUAGUUUUUAAUUUUUUUUUAACUUCAUGGAUGCGUACCUAAAUGUGAGGUGUUGGUCAUAUGACCAAAUAAGAGAUUUUCAUGAUUUUUUUACCAUAAGAUCAAAAAGUUAUAUCAUAUCUCAUUUUAUUACAUUUUUUCUUUAAUGGUGGGGUUUAUUGGUUUCUAAAAAUAUAUCAAUUACCACCCUUUGUUUUCAAAUUCUUUAACCCCGUCACUAAAAACAUAAAAGUAUUUGGAGUAGGUUUAUUUUGUGAAAACAUUUUAAGUUUUCUAGAAUUUAUAUUUUUAAGCAAAAGUGAAUUGCAAAAAUUUAAGCGAGAUUUUUUAUCACAAGUUUACAAUUAUGGUGAAAUCGAAGAACUUAACUACUUAGGUUGUAAACUAAGAACAUUUUAUUAACAAAGAACCAAAAACAGGCAUGAUGGAGUGCAUAGACCAAAAUCUAAAGAAAAAACAUCAAACAGAAAUAAAGGGAAACUAUGUCGAUUAUUAUAACAACAAUCCUCUAAAAUAAAUCUAGGUGGAAGAGUCCACCAAAUAUAACGUUUAGAUUAAAAACCAAAUCCCGCUAUAAAUAUGAGAGAUUACAAUUAAUUGCAUUUGAGAACACAAUGACAAAGCAUUGCGUUGUCUUUUUUUUUUUUUUUUUUUGUCAUUUAGCUUAAUGGCUAUAGAAAUUCACCUUAAAGAUGAAUAAUUGAAGUGUCAUGCAUCGUCUGUUUUUUAAUCUCCACGUGAUAGACCGAGAAUUCUAAAAAGACUUCACCGAUAAUGACGGUGGAGAUUAAAAAACGUUCAUAAUUGCGGCCAACAAAACAAUUUGUGACUAAUAAUUCUAACCUUUUUAAAGAAAAACACGAAGUAGACAAGAAAAAGGAUGUAUCAAUAUGACAAUCAAUGGAAGUCCAAAGUCAACUCUAAAUGUUAACAUCAAAUUGAUUAACGUUGUAACUUGUAACACCUCGUUUUUUCAACUUAAAAAUUUCACAUAUAAAUUAAAGUAUUUCAACAUAAACAGAAUGUCACACUUCUUUUCAUAAAAUCAUAAACAGAAUAAAAUAACUAUUUAUCCUUCAAAUUCAACAGCAUAUCAUUUAUUACAUCGCAACGGAAUGUAUUCAACAUUUAAACAUCUUUUGCACCAAGGCCUCAACAUAAAAUCUCUUAAAGUUAUUCCAACAACAUGUUCAUGAAAGUUCAUAAAAUAAUACGUAAGGAAUAGAAAGCAACAACAAAAUUCUCAUCCCGUUACGUAUCAGGGCACCUAAGACACACGUGAGAGAUAGUCCACUCACGACAACAACUAACAGCAACUAUUCUCGAUCACCUGCAGGUUACCCAUAUGAAGGGUAACAAUUCCAAGCAGAAGGGGUGAGAUUUCAUAUUCAAAUAAUAAUAAGCAUAUAAUUCAUUAAAUGCAUUUAACAACUUAAACUUCAUCAAUUAAUAACAUUAACUCUUCUUAUAAUACUUCGUUAAUAACUCAAUCAAUUUCUAAUCAUCAUUAACUUCAUAUUCAUCACAUUAUAUACAACAUCAUAUAGCACAUAAUAAUCAGAUCAUAAACAUCAUCAUAUAACGACAUAAUCAUCACAUCAUAAACAUCAUCUUAUAACAAGAUAAACGAUACAUCAUAAACAUCAUCUUAUAACAGCAUAAACAACACAUCAUAAACAUCAUCUCAUAACGACAUAAACAACAACGAUUAAUAAAUAUUAAUACUUCACUUAGUUCUUUAUUAACAACUCAUUGACAAAUGACAACUUAACGACAACGACAAUGCGACUUCUACAUCUUAAACUCAACAUAUGCAACUUCAACUUCUUAAUCAUGCAUGUGGUACCAACCAGAGCAUCAAGCCCUCAACAUAAAGAGCAUAAAUACACUCACAGGGCAUCAAGCCCUCAACAUAAGAGCAAAAGCUCACAGAGCAUCAAGCCCUCAACUUCAAAUGAUUAUGCAUGGACUCAAAAACGUACAACUUAGACAAAUUCACAACUUAUAUGAUCCAAUAUCUUGGAAUAACAACUUACAACUUUACAACUUAGACCAACACUUGCAACUUAAUGACAAUAAUGGUUCAACAACAACAGAAACAGCAACAUAAACAUCUUGCAACAUAGCAACAUCAAUAAUAACAAUUUGAAUGAUAUAAACAAUAAUAAUUUCUAUAUCAUACAUUUUCAACACCUUAUAUAAAUAUCUUAAAUUAACCAACAAUCAUUAAUCAUUUGAUUCAGGCUCUCUUUAACUCUAUAACUUAAUAACAACUUCCAUUCUUAUCCAAAGAUCAACUCAAAACAUAGGUUAAAUACUCUUAAACAUCUUAAUUGAACUCAUAGUACUUCUAGUUUUGAGGUUUUGAAUUAUCCCAUAAGUUUUGGAUUAACUUAGAAAUGGUUAUGCUGAAUUUUCAUAAGAUUUCACUAAGACCUCUCUGGAGUAUUUUUUAUCAUAUCUCAAAAACCAAAAAUCAUUUUCAAAUCAAACCAAAGCCAUUGAAAAGCUAAUAAAAUUAUCUAAAACUUUCAUGUUUACAACUAGACACAGUUCAAAGCGGAAAGGGGUGAAAAAUAGUAAAAUAAGAAGGAUCUGAUUCACAAAAAUCGUGCCACGUUUUUAUGCCCAGAACCAUUGAACUUUCGGCCAACAAAAUUGUGCCACGCUUGCAAAAUCGUGACACGUUUUGACAGCAUCAGGUCCAGAAAUCUGCUUUUCAAAAAGUGCAAUUUUCACCAUUUCGCGCGUAAAAUUCAAACCGUUAAUCGGAUUUUGAUGCCGUUUUCGCCUACACGCUCCUGAAACUUGGCUCUAUCAUAAUCUACAGCUAUUUCAAGUCUCAACCAUCCCAAGAAUCAUUUUCCAAAACCUCACAUAAUCCCUUAUUUGCAAAAACGUUUAGACACCGACUUUUCAAGCGAAAAUCUCAAUUUUCAUCAACUCAACCCCAAAACUGGUUCUAAUCAUUGUACUGUGAAUAAUCUAAGGUCUGAACAUCGUUUCUUCAUUAAUUCAACAGGUUUCUAUCAUCUAAUCAACCAAUUACAACUUUUAACCCUAAUUUCCCAAAUUCCCAAAACUACAACCUACAACAUGUUAAAUCCAAUUUUCAGAAUUAUACAACUUAUAAUUAAAGAAUGUUAUCAUUCUAGGUUCUUCUCUUCUAUUGUUUUCUCCCUUUUUCUCCAAAAACUUGUUUUACGCGAUCCUUAUUUUCUAAUUCUAACUCUCCCCUUUUAUAUAAAUCCUUAACCUACUUAUUUUCUCUUAUUUCCAAAUCUACCCCCAAAGUCUCAAUAUUCUAUUCUAAUAUAUAUGUAUAAUAAAAUACUUCUAUAACAAAUAACAAAUAUAUCUCUAUAACAAAUAUAUUUAUGUACCAGAUAACAUAUAUAUUUCUUCACCAAAUUAGAUAUAUAUUUCUACACCAAAUAACAUAUAUAUUAUACUAAUAAAUACCAACAUAUAACAUAACAAAAUAUCACUCAUCAAAAUAAAUCGACUAAAUUAUAAAAAGACAUCUAAAUUCAAUAAAAUAAAUAAAUAUUAAAAUAGGGCGUUACAAACGUGCUUUCUAUCAUCGAUGAACCAGAGCAAAAUUACCAUUAGAUUCAAUCAAUGGUCAUGAUUUAUACAAAAUAAAAAUAAGAACAUUUAAGAAUUGCCUCGCACAAUCUUGCCCCUAUUAAACUUUUUUAUUUUUGGUAUUCAUCAUCUUCAACCUCCAUUCCAAUUUUUUCGUAAUAAAAAAAAAAAAAAAAACUCCAUUUCAAUUUAGGAGCAAUGCUACAAAAGAGAAUUUGCACAAAAAAUUGAGUGUGUCUUCAAAAGUUUACGGGGUUUGCUAAAAAUCUAGUUUAUGGGUUCAAUUGGAGGUGGUGACUAAUGAAAUUGGAGGUUUAACUCAUCCUUAAAAACCAGUUCAUAAGGUGAGUCACGCCCAGCACUCUUUGGGCUUACGUGAAUCGGUAGGUAUUUGGGCUUACGUGAAUCGAUAGGUAACUCUUGAAUUCGACAGGUUCUGAUACCAUAAUGAAAUUGGAGGCCUAACUCAUCCUUAAAAACUAAUUCAUAAGGUGAGAAUUGUCUCCUCUAUAUUAACUCUUAUCAAGAGUCUUAUCUUUUCGAUGUGGAACAUGAGUUUUUUUCAAUAAUGACCUUUAAAGUUUAAACACGCGGCAUCUUUGAAUUCUACAUAGAAAAAAAAAAUAGAAUUAUAGCGUGUUAUGUUUGUUUCUCUAGAGCAUGAGACAUUUCAUUGUUCAGUUUAUGUUGUCAUGGAAAGGCAUAUGAGUGAUGGGUGUACAUCAUCGAUCGGUGGUUUGAUUCUCGUGAAUAGAACAAAAAAAAUCUGAGCUCAAUGGUACAAAUCCUUACGAUGAAAGGUGAGAUAUAGUAGGAUUGUGUGUGGAUAGUUGUAAAUGUUAUCUUUUUUAAUUCUAGUAGAUCAAAAUUGUUAAUCUCAUUUCAUGGUAAAAAUUAAAUAGUCCAUUUGUGAGGGACUCAAUAGCUCCUUCACCUUAGACGUCACCCUUAAUUAAUAAGAAACUAACGGCGAGGGACUCAACUCCCUCACCUUAGACGUCACCAUUGAUUAAUAAGAAACUAACGAUUGAAGUAAAUAAACGAGAAAGAAACUCAAACUUCUUUCUAAACUUUCUUUCUCUUUCGUUCAUCAAGGAGGGGUGGUUUUUGACCUAGAAUCACCCCUCUACAUCUUUUUUCCCAUUUUCUUUCAAUCUAAAUAAGUGGUUUUCACAUACAAGUGUUUCCUUUUGUGUUUUUUGUGAUUUUGUCGUCUAAGUACAACGCUGUGUUGGUCGUCGUCUUGUGCGGCGUUUGAUUUCACGUCUUGUCGCGGCGUUCGUUUAGUUUCUAUUGAAAGAUUGACAUCGGUCAAUUAUAAAUCCAAUCAAUGAUUUGGGUGUGAAUGUUGCCGAUCUAGAAACAUGAGUAUUUCGGUGACUUAGAUUUAAUCAUAUUAGUUGUAGCAUUUUGUCAUUUUAUGUUAUUAACUUGGGUGCUGUGAGUUUGUUCGCAGUUUUACCCUUUACGUUUCUAGCGAUUUUUGUAUCUGAUGUACUCUAUCAAUCUGAAUGAAUGAAUAUCGUUUUGUUUUUAUUAAAAAAAAAAAAUAAAAAAAAAACUAACGGUUAAAAGUUUGCUCUACAUGCCUACAAUGAUAAUAAAUAGAGAUAAUUUACUACAACUUUUAAAACAAUGAUGCUCAUUUAUAGGAACUUUACCAUAAAUAAGUCUCCAAAGAAAAAAUGAUUUGGAUUGAGGAAUUGAAGGUUUCCAAAUAAGCUAUGUCCAUGAUUGAUCAUAUGCAGAAACUUGACAAAAACUAUCAGCAUCCUAAACUGAAAGAGAACCUGAUGAAGAACCCUUCUAAGCAAGAUAUUCAGUGGAAAACUAUACCCCGAUAUUUAUCAAAUUUCAUAUUUCACCAAUUCAACUCUCUCUAUCAAUAGUAUAUAUAUAAAGUAAGAUUUUUUAUGACACGUGUCACUUCCACGUUUAUUCGCAAUAUUUUUAUUUUUUUUCUAAUUUUUCAAAACCAAUAUUUAAUUUGGCAUAAAUAUCUCAACAAACUUUUGAUCUUAUCUAUUAAAUAUUUUACUUAACUAUUUAUUGAAUUCCUAAUAUUUUAUGUAAUAGAAAUAUCUCAACAAAAUUACAUACGAUACCCUUCAAUUAAAAAUCAUCAAUCAAUCAAUAGUAUAUAUAGUAAGGUUUCUUAUGCCACGUGUCACUUUCAUGUUUAUUCGCAAUAUUUUUAUUAUUUUUAUAUUUUUUAAAAUCAAUAUUUAAUUUUGUAAAAAAAAAAUCAAUAUUUAAUUUGGCAUAAAUAUUUCAACAAAAUUUUAACCUUAGGGAUGGCAAUGGGUACCCUAUCCCAAUGGAUAGGGUACUAUAGUACCCUAUCCAUUGGGUACUCAUUGCCAUAAAUGUAUUGGUCUAUUCUCCACUAUCAUAAAUAUAAAGUGAAAUAUAUUGAAUUGGAAAUGAUGAAAGUAGUAUUAAUUAGAGUUAUAAUUGAAAAAAAAAGUAAUUAAUAAUUGUAUUGAAAAGUUAAAUGCAUCAAGAUUUUUGAGACAAUAUUUUUUACAAAUAACUUAGUUAUUAUGGGACGGAGGGAGUAACACUUUAACAUGACAAUGAAAAGUAAAUUUAAGAAUUAAAAUGCAAGAAAUGAAGAGAAUGUUUCUCUAACACAAAACUAUUUUUUUUUUCUCUUUCACUUAUACACUUUUUUAAUGUGUAAAAUAAAAAAUAAAAAAAACUUAUGUAUAAUGAGACGGAGGGAGUAGUUAGUAAGAACAAAGUCGUCAAGGAACCAAUUAACUCUUGAUUUCACUUCCCAAAAACGUCUUGAUAGUGCUAUACUCCCUCCGUCCCAAAUUAUAAGCAAAAAAACAAAAAUCACACUUAUUAAGAAAACUAAAACAUAAAAAUUUGGAGUAUAGUUUUUUGUGUUUUCGUUGGAAAAAGUUUUAUAGGAAGAUGUAAAAACAAUUUUCAUUGGCUAUUGAUUAUGGAAAAAAUGAAAGAAAGAGAAAAUUGAAUGUAAUUUGCAUUUAAUUUUAUGAGAAUAACAAAAAAAAAUCUUGGAAAAGAUUAAAAUUUGUCUUUUUUCCUUAUAUUUUGGGACAAAGAAAAUGAAUUUCUUUUGCUUAUAUUAUGGAACGGAGGGAGUACUUGGUUAAGCUGGAUUGAGCAUUCAAUUCUAAUUUAAGGGCCUUUAAUUUACCUUAAAGAAUAAACAUAGGACAACCAACCACAUAAUUAUUUAUACCAAACAUUUUCCACCACGUGGGUGAUAUCUGGAAGAUGAGAGUCCAUUUAAGUGAGUCAAUGUGACGAAAAAAAAGAUAAAAUGGCAAUUUUAGGAUCGUAAAUUUCUGAAAAUAAUGGAAGUAGUAAUUCUUUUAACGUUUUCAUUGUUUUAAAAAAAUUAUCCAAUCAUAUUUUAUAUGCAAUUUUUGUUUUUUAGAUUAAUUAAACAAUAAAUUUUGUUAACCAGUGUCCUAAGGGUGAUGAUUAAGGAAUUCAAAUGUAAAAGUUUUGUCUUGUAAUUGUAGGAUGUUACAUUUGAUCAAGUAAUGAUUAUACUACUUUUUAUUAAAAACUUACUUGAUUUAGUUGUUUAACCAGUGUGAACACUAGUUAACAUUCUCCUUAAAUAAUUGAUGUUUCUGAAAUAUAAUAUAUAUAUAUAUAUAUAUAUAGCUCAGAUACAUCACUUAUUUAAUGAAGAGUUUUUUUUUUUUCCUUCUCUUAAUUAACGAAUAAAACUAACACUUAUAUAUCUACCAAAAAAAAAAAAAAACUAACACUUAUAUAAUAUAGUUCGGAUACAAUAUAUUUAUAUAAUAUAAUCCGGAUACAUCACUUAUAUAAUCAACAUUGCUAUUUACCGCGACAAGUUUUGUCCCGAAUGCAUCAAGAAUGAAAAUAAGCCAAUUAAAAACAGCUGUUAGUGGAAAUCAUGGGAGGUGGGGGAGAAAAAGAUGGAAAUCAUAAACUAAUGGAUGGAUGGCAUACAUGCCACAUGUGUCUGGAAAAUCUCGGGACAGUUUUAUUUCGUGUGAAAUAGCAUUUUUCCUUAUAUAAUAUAGUCCAGGUACAAGGCAACUAUCACCGGAUGAGGUUUUAUCUUUUUAUUAAUGAAUAAAACUUUUUUUAAGAAGCUAAAUGCAAAAUAUAUUAAAAACCAAAUUAGUUAAGCACAAGAUGUGCCAAACGAAAAACUGUGUAUAACGUCAAAGUAACAAACUCGAUAAAGAAAGAAACCACAAAUAAUAAAAAUCAAAAGCGAAAUUCAGUUUAUGUGUCUUUAGCCACCACAAAAAAUGAAAUUUAAUAUUGUCGAGAAGUUGAUCCUUAGAAGACACGUUGUUAUUGAAAUUUCUCGAGUUUCUCUCCUUCCAAAUUCUCUCCUUCGAAAUAACUCAAAGACAUGUCAGCACACCACUUUAAAACAAGAGCUAAUGUCCUUCCUGAAAGCAUGCGCGCCAAAAAAUUGUUGUGCGUGACAACCAAUAUUUGAUGGAACGACGGUAGUUUUACCCUACCAGAUCAACAAACACCCUACCAGAUCAACAAACAGGGAAAAUAAAUAAAAAAUAUUUUUGCAAAGUAAUUAAACGGAUUCUAAUGUUUAAUAGGAACCGAUCGAGGACAACAUAGAAAUCAUGCUGGAAUUUGAAGAAGAAAUACAAACCUAAUUAAAGAGAGGGGCUAAGUAUUUCCAAGCUGGAACUUGAAAAAGAAAAACCAUGCUCUAAUUAAGUAACUAAGUAAGGUAGUACAUUACAACAAUUGAGAUAAGUACGACACAUUAUGAUGAUUAUGACUUAUGAGCUGUUAAAUGAUGUUGUAGGAUUACUUUUUUCUUGUCAAAAAUAAAUAAAUGAUGUUGUAGGAGAAACAUUAUUAUAAACAUUAUUAUAACUUACAAGGACUAAUGUUUAAAAAAAAAAACUUACAAGGACUAAUAAUGAGACAGAACGAAAGUGUACGUGAGUGUAGGAGACACGUUAUUAUAACAUUUUAUAAAUAUUUAAACGUUGAUAAUAAUUUUGUCGAUCUAUAAACCACUACCAAUUCCUAGUUAAAUAUAUAAUAAUUUUUAUUAUAUUUGUUAGUUGAUGGUAAAAGAUGAAUAUAAUUUGUUACUAUAUUUUUUUUUGACAAAAUAAUUUGUUGCUAUUUAAAAUUCAUAAAUAUAGUCUAUACAUAUAAUUUUAAUAAAAAUAAAAAUUCACCCAAAAAAAAAUCAAAAAUUUCAUAAAAAAAUAAAUAUUGUUUAUAAUUCACGAGCGUUGUCGCAGUACAAAAAUGGAUAGAUGGAUACCCAGUACUAGUAAUUAAUGAAGUUAAUUGGUAAAAUUUCACUCUUACUGGUGGUUGAUGGUAGGGGUGUUUACGGUGCGGUUUGGUUCGGUUUUGAGAGAAAAAGUCAUCCAAACCGCAAGAUAAAAAAACAUGCGGUUUGUGUAACACCCACAGCUGACGAGGGCAGGGGAGUGGUCACCGGUGCACAAGGCACGCCAAUGAGCGGCUCCCGACAGCUUCUAGAGGAACCGAAUCACAUCUGAAUGAGAGGGAUCCUGAGGCCGUGUAGGUGUGGGACUACAUGAAUGAAGGAAUGCUUAUAAGAAUUGUUUGGUAAUACCUAUAUCAACAAGGUGCAUCUUCUUUUUGGUACCCUAUUCCAUAAGAACUCCACAGUUAAGCGUGCUUGACUUGGAGUAGUCUUUGGAUGGGUGACCUACCGGGAUUCCCGAUAAGCAUGCGAGUGAGGACAAAACACGCUGAAAAGACUCGUGUUGGUUUGUAGGGUCAGUCGACAAUGCUUAAAGUCGUCUGGGAUGUUACAGUUUGGUUUGGUUCGGUUGGCUUUAAAAUAAAAUCCGAACCAAACCAAACCAAUAUGGUUUGGGUUGUAUCGGUUGGUGCGGUUUUUUUCGUGACGAUACGAUUUUUUGUUUCCAACAUUAAAAUCAAGAUAAAAAGCUGAAACACAAUAUAUUUUCAACAAUGUUUUAAAUUUCAUCAAACAUUACAAUUUCAUUUUCAUUACAAUGUUUCCAACAACAUAAACCAAAUUAAAAACGCGGACAAAAAGUAAUCUUAUUUUGUAAGAAAUGCAAAAGACUGAGAUGUUCUCAUUCUCUAAAAGUUAAGUAGCACAUAAAUACAUUUUUAAAUAAAAAGCAAAUAAUGAACUUAACAAGAGAAAAAAAAUAUGACAUUUUAUAAAAGUUUUCAUUGAGUUUCUAUGAGUAUUGGUCUUGAUGACAUAUGUUUAAUUAACAUUUUUCUUAUGUUAUGGUUUGGUUUGGUUUUGUAUCUAUUUGACAGUCUCUUUGUACUUUGAGCGACCUCUUUAGUACGCCUUAUGCUAAAGAGGUGUCUCUCUUAUUGUGAAUAUAUAUCAUUUUACCUUCUUAAAAAAAAGUUAAUUGGUAAAAAAAAAAAAAAUUUCUCUCUUGAUUUAUAUGAAAUGACAUUUUUUUUUGGAACAUGGAGGGUAUUGAUUUUUACACCUUUUCAAAAGCCACUCAAGGAUGAAUAUAGAUUUUUCAUGCAUCAAACACAAGAAUCAUUAGCAUAACAUGCUUUGGAAAACACACACAUAUACUUAAAUUAAUGGUUGGAGUAUCAAAUUUAAAAAUAUUGUUGUCAAUACAUACCCCGUCAAUCCUCCUUUUUUACCCAAUAAACAUUGAAAUGUUGCUUCUUUCGUUAAGCAUAAAAACAUCAAAGUCUAGCAAAAUGUUGUUUUUGCGAUGACACAUUUCAUAUAGUUUAAAGGAUGCAUGAUUCGAUUACAAAAACAAAAUACUAAUAAUUCUAGCACAAAGUUUAAAGCUAAGAUUAUAAAGCUUCAUAGCAUGUGGAUAUUCAUUUAGAAAUAUAGGAUUAGGAUUGCCCCUUUCAUCACGGGUCUAAUAGCACCACUUGUCACUACAUGUUAAAAAUGUCCUCUAGUACAACACCGCUUUUUACUUGAUUCCCCUUGUCCAUGAAAAAAUCAAACAAUAUUUGGACACAAAAAUUUGCCCCCACUUUCCUUUUUCUUCUGCCCUAGUUUGUUUGAAAACUCAUAUUGAUCAAAUUUGGCUAUGAAUUCAAACAAAAAAUUCACUCUGCCCAUUGCAUGUGUGGGACCCACAUAUAAAUCCAUGAAGGAUUUCAAUGUCCAUCCAAGUCAAUGAUUCAACAUAUAACAUUGAAUAAUUUAAUUCCAAUUUGCAGUAUUAUGAUUUAGAUUGAUUGCUGCAAUACGGUCCGUGAAUGUAACUCACGAGAAAGAGGUAUCAAGGUAUUUUAUUUUAUUUUUAACAAAUAAAAUUUCAAGGUCUUGUUCACCAUAUAAACCUCCUCACUCUCACUCAAUUCUCUUAAGUGUAUGACUUCAUAGUAAACUACACUACUUUCUUUAAAACAUGGCUAACUAUGCUAUAGCCAAUGUUUUGAUCCUUCUCUUGAACUUGAGUACCUUACUCAAUGUUCUUGCUUGCCCUUAUUGUCCUUACCCAAGCCCUAAACCACCUUCACACCACCCUCCUAUUGUUAAGCCACCAGUUCACAAACCACCAAAGCAUUCUCCUACUCCUAAACCACCAGUUCAUAAACCACCAAGAUAUCCUCCUAAACCAUCACCUUGUCCACCCCCAUCAUCAACACCAAAACCACCUCAUCAUCCCAAACCCCCAGCAGUACACCCACCACAUGUUCCAAAACCACAUCCACCUUAUGUUCCAAAACCACCAAUUGUUAAACCUCCAAUAGUACAUCCACCUUACGUACCAAAACCCCCAGUUGUGAAACCACCACCAUAUGUCCCUAAACCACCUGUUGUGAGACCACCCUAUGUUCCUAAACCACCAGUUGUACCUGUAACACCACCUUAUGUUCCUAAGCCACCAAUUGUUUUCCCACCACAUGUUCCUCUACCUCCAGUUGUACCAUCACCACCACCUUAUGUACCAACACCUCCAAUUGUGAAACCACCAAUUGUUUUUCCACCACAUGUUCCUCUACCUCCAGUUGUGCCUGUAACACCACCUUAUGUGCAACCACCACCUAUUGUAACUCCACCAACACCAACACCUCCAAUUGUGACACCACCAACACCACCUAGUGAAACACCUUGUCCUCCACCACCACUUGUACCUUAUCCACCACCACCAGCACAACAAACAUGUUCCAUUGAUGCUUUGAAGUUGGGUGCAUGUGUUGAUGUGCUUGGUGGACUCAUACAUAUUGGUAUAGGUGGAAGUG